GAAUUUAGUAGAAAGCUAAAUCAUCGAAAAAAAUUUGAAAUUAAUUUUCGCUUUAAAAGUUUCUUUCUUCUUUUGUAAAUUUAAAUCAUAUAAACAAAUAUUUUUUUAAUUUAAAAUUGAAAAAACUUUGAACAUGCUUAUUGUCUUUUUAUAUUUAUCACUUAUAUCGGUCUAAAACACUUUCAAAAUCGACUUUUUAAGGAAUAUUAUUUUUAUUUUUGAUACUUCAAAUUAAUAUAUAAUUUGAUUAUUAUCUGAUAUUUUCCUUUCAAAGAUUAUUAUCUAAUAUUUAAUUGGGGAAUUAUCUUGUAUACUGUUUUUCAAUCUUAUUUUCAAAAAUACUACCUUCUCCAAUCUUAUUUUUAAAGGUACUACCUUCUCUG
This 383-nucleotide long non-coding RNA is filed under the name Daucus carota (carrot). RNAcentral describes it as "long non-coding RNA (DCAR_LNC000208)". Lineage: Eukaryota; Viridiplantae; Streptophyta; Magnoliopsida; Apiales; Apiaceae. The record is from RNAcentral.